Molecule: long non-coding RNA, 239 nt
Filed under: Bos taurus (domestic cattle)
Lineage: Eukaryota; Metazoa; Chordata; Mammalia; Artiodactyla; Bovidae
Description: long non-coding RNA NONBTAT017070
Source: RNAcentral
UGACAUGCAGAAUACCUUAUUGUCACUCUGGAGAGUUUAGAAAGACUAAAUAUCUGUAUCAGGAAAGUCUUACUAAUCUGAUCAACUUCUUUCAUUAGGUGAUGAAAAACAUGAUUUAUGAAAAAUCAACAUUCAGUUAUUAAAGAAACCCAGAGAAGGCUUGUUGUGUAAAGUGAGUGCUUAAUGUUCCUAAAAAAACAAAACUCAUGGGGUGUAGAUGAGUUUUCUUAAUCCUCAUG